Xenopus tropicalis (tropical clawed frog) is the source of this 348-nucleotide long non-coding RNA. RefSeq lists it as uncharacterized. NCBI's taxonomy places the organism in Eukaryota, Metazoa, Chordata, Amphibia, Anura, Pipidae. The record is from RefSeq and is a predicted model, not a curated record. The transcript has 3 exons.
CACGGGGGCGGGAGAGCAGCUUGUCGGGGGCAGCAAAGUCGCGGUUGGCACAGUGUAUGAAUCCUUGGGCCUGUGGCGCUUAUUCAUCAAGAAAUGGCUUUGGGCUGUAGAAGUAUCGGGAAACUGAAGCUUUCGACAAAAGACUAAAAAACUGAUAAAGAAAAAGGACUCUGUGGAAGACACAGAUGAAACAUAGGAUAAGGCUAAAACAGAAGGAAAGCAAUUAAAAUCAAAGCAAAUGCCUCAUCCAGCAUUAAAACAUACAAAGCGUAAGAAACAAAAAGAUAUUAAAACCCCUGAGGAAGAAACAGUGGUUGCGAAUAAAGAUGAAGAUCAGAAUUCAGGGUC